GCCUCCGUGGCGCAGUAAGUUAGCACGUUCGCCUGUUAACCGAAGGGUUGGUGGUUCGAGUCCACCCGGGGGCG
This is a non-coding RNA of Bombyx mori (domestic silkworm), 74 nucleotides long. The record is from Rfam. Lineage: Eukaryota; Metazoa; Arthropoda; Insecta; Lepidoptera; Bombycidae.